RNAcentral lists this ribosomal RNA (505 nucleotides) under uncultured bacterium. RNAcentral's name for it is "partial 16S ribosomal RNA". It matches the Rfam family "Bacterial small subunit ribosomal RNA", at positions 28 to 507 of the family's 1533-position model. The record is from RNAcentral.
GACGAACGCUGGCGGCGUGCCUAAUACAUGCAAGUAGAACGCACAGUUUAUACCGUAGCUUGCUACACCAGAGACUGUGAGUUGCGAACGGGUGAGUAACGCGUAGCUAACCUGCCUGGUAGCGGGGGAUAACUAUUGGAAACGAUAGCUAAUACCGCAUAAUAUUAAUUAUUGCAUGAUAAUUAAUUGAAAGGUGCAAUUGCACCACUACCAGAUAGACCUGCGUUGUAUUAGUUAGUAGGUGAGGUAACGGCGCACCUAGGCGACGAUACAGAGCCGACCUGCGAGGGUGAGUGGCCACACUGGGACUGAGACCGGGCCCAGAGUCAUACGGGAGGCAGCCGUAGGGAAUCUUCGGGAAUGGGCGAAAGUCUGAACGAGCAACGCCGCGUGAGUGUAGAAGGUUUUCGGGUGGUAAAGCUCUGUUGUAAGAGAAGAACGCGUGUGAGAGUGGAAAGUUCACACUGUGACGGUAUCUUACCAGAAAGGGACGGCUAACUACGUG